AUGGGCGCAGCCUGAUGCAGCGACGCCGCGUGAGGGAUGACGGCCUUCGGGUUGUAAACCUCUGUUAGCAUCGAAGAAGCGAAAGUGACGGUAGGUGCAGAGAAAGCGCCGGCUAACUACGUGCCAGCAGCCGCGGUAAUACGUAGGGCGCGAGCGUUGUCCGGAAUUAUUGGGCGUAAAGAGCUUGUAGGCGGUUGGUCGCGUCUGCUGUGAAAGGCUGGGGCUUAACCCUGGUUUUGCAGUGGGUACGGGCUAACUAGAGUGCAGUAGGGGAGACUGGAAUUCCUGGUGUAGCGGUGGAAUGCGCAGAUAUCAGGAGGAACACCGAUGGCGAAGGCAGGUCUCUGGGCUGUAACUGACGCUGAGAAGCGAAAGCAUGGGGAGCGAACAGGAUUAGAUACCCUGGUAGUCCAUGCCGUAAACGUUGGGCACUAGGUGUGGGGGACAUUCCACGUUUUCCGCGCCGUAGCUAACGCAUUAAGUGCCCGCCUGGGGAGUACGGCCGCAAGGCUAAACUCAAAGAAAUUGACGGGGGCCCGCACAAGCGGCGGAGCAUGCGGAUUAUUCGAUGCAACGCGAAGAACCU
This 586-nucleotide ribosomal RNA is filed under the name Rothia dentocariosa. Its description in RNAcentral is "bacterial SSU rRNA". It matches the Rfam family "Bacterial small subunit ribosomal RNA", at positions 371 to 971 of the family's 1533-position model. Lineage: Bacteria; Bacillati; Actinomycetota; Actinomycetes; Micrococcales; Micrococcaceae. The record is from RNAcentral.